RNAcentral lists this ribosomal RNA (357 nucleotides) under uncultured bacterium. RNAcentral describes it as "bacterial SSU rRNA". It matches the Rfam family "Bacterial small subunit ribosomal RNA", at positions 28 to 339 of the family's 1533-position model. The record is from RNAcentral.
GAUGAAUGCUGGCGGCGUGCCUAAUACAUGCAAGUCGAGCGGUAACAGGGAAUUCCACCGUUUCCUUGACACACCUAGCGCUUUAUCGUAGGUUGUUGACUUCGAGGGAACCGUGGAAUUCUGCUGACGAGCGGCGGACGGCUGAGUAACGCGUGGGAACGGACCCCAAAGUGAGGGAUAACUACUCGAAAGAGUGGCUAAUACCGCAUGUGAUCUUCGGAUUAAAGCUUUUGCGCUUUGGGACUGGCCUGCGUACGAUUAGAUAGUUGGUAGGGUAAUGGCCUACCAAGUCGACGAUCGUUAGAUGGUUUGAGAAGAUGAUCAUCCAGACUGGGACUGAGACACGGCCCAGACUCC